RNAcentral lists this ribosomal RNA (424 nucleotides) under Verrucomicrobiota bacterium. Its description in RNAcentral is "Verrucomicrobia bacterium partial 16S ribosomal RNA". It matches the Rfam family "Bacterial small subunit ribosomal RNA", at positions 355 to 776 of the family's 1533-position model. Lineage: Bacteria; Pseudomonadati; Verrucomicrobiota. The record is from RNAcentral.
UGAGGAAUAUUGGUCAAUGGACGAGAGUCUGAACCAGCCAAGUAGCGUGCAGGCUGACGGCCCUAUGGGUUGUAAACUGCUUUUGUUUGGGAAUAAUCGACAUUACGUGUAAUGUUUUGCAUGUACCAUUCGAAUAAGGACCGGCUAAUUCCGUGCCAGCAGCCGCGGUAAUACGGAAGGUCCAGGCGUUAUCCGGAUUUAUUGGGUUUAAAGGGAGUGUAGGCGGUUGGUUAAGCGUGUUGUGAAAUGUAGAUGCUCAACAUCUGACUUGCAGCGCGAACUGGCUGACUUGAGUACACACAACGUAGGCGGAAUUCAUGGUGUAGCGGUGAAAUGCUUAGAUAUCAUGAAGAACUCCGAUUGCGAAGGCAGCUUACGGGAGUGUUACUGACGCUUAAGCUCGAAGGUGCGGGUAUCGAACAGG